Molecule: ribosomal RNA, 458 nt
Filed under: uncultured bacterium
Lineage: Bacteria
Description: partial 16S ribosomal RNA
Rfam family: Bacterial small subunit ribosomal RNA
Source: RNAcentral
CCUACGGGUGGCAGCAGUGAGGAAUAUUGGUCAAUGGGCGAGAGCCUGAACCAGCCAAGUCGCGUGAGGGAGUACUGCCCUAUGGGUUGUAAACCUCUUUUGUCGGGGAGCAAAAGCCGGACGUGUCCGGCUGUGAGAGUACCCGAAGAAAAAGCAUCGGCUAACUCCGUGCCAGCAGCCGCGGUAAUACGGAGGAUGCGAGCGUUAGCCGGAUUUAUUGGGUUUAAAGGGUGCGCAGGCGGAUUUUUAAGUCAGCGGUAAAAUCGUGGGGCUCAACCCCAUCCAGCCGUUGAAACUGGGGAUCUAGAGUGUGCGAGAGGUAUGCGGAAUGCGUGGUGUAGCGGUGAAAUGCAUAGAGAUCAUGCAGAACCCCGAUUGCGAAGGCAGCAUACCGGUGCACAACUGACGCUCAGGCACGAAAGCGUGGGUAUCGAACAGGAUUAGAUACCCCAGUAGUC